Non-coding RNA from Salmo salar (Atlantic salmon), 54 nucleotides. The record is from Rfam. NCBI's taxonomy places the organism in Eukaryota, Metazoa, Chordata, Actinopteri, Salmoniformes, Salmonidae.
AAUGCACCAAUUUGUAAGUCGCUCUGGAUAAGAGCGACUGCUAAAUGACGUAAA